CGUUCGUAAGGGAGAGAAAUAAGCCUGUCUGGUUCCGUGGUAUGUUGGUACUCCCCUGUCAUGCUAGUUGGUCGUAACGAGGGCCGCUCCUGGUUAGCCAGGAACGUCUUUAAGCGCCGUGGACAGCUGAUGUGGAUGCGAAAGGAGGCCUCCGCGUCCCUAGGAACUAUUAGUACGGCCGGUCGGAACAAAGGAACCGCGCCGCUAAAGGGUUAUUUGAACCGGAAUCUUACAGCUCUAUUCUGUAAGACUGCUGUCGACCGAAAAUGCGAUUUUGUGUCUUAAGCAAGCUGUCAGGUACUACAAAGACAGGAACACGCCGAUCUAUGCGUCCUUUCUGGACUUGUCAAAGGCGUUUGACCUGGUUGUGUAAGACAAGCUAUAGUACAAGCUUACAAAAACGGGAGAUUCCAUUGAAUAUGUCGCGUUGCUUAAACAUUGGUACAACAGCCAGGUCAACCAAAUGAGAUGGGCGGGAGAGGAGUCUGACGAGUACAAACUACAAAGUGGAGCGAGACAGGGAGGGCUAACAUCCCUUCUCCUUUUCAACGUCUACGUAAACGAGUUGAUCGAGGCACUCAGCAGGGCACAUGUCGGUUGCCAUACAGGUGAUGUGUGUUUUAACAAUAUAAGUUACGCUGACGACAUGGCGUUGCUGGGGCCUUCGGCUGACGCGGUACGACAGCUCAUCAAUAUUUGUGAGGAAUACGCCGGACAGCAUGGUCUAAAAUACAACACGGCCCAAAGUCAGUUUGUCAAGUGUCUCCUUUUCUUACAGAAUAAAAUGUUAGGUAUAAAAGAAAUAGUUUAGCACAACCUUUAAUAUGUAGAAAAGGACGUAUUUAAGUUUCGUGU
Long non-coding RNA from Cydia pomonella (codling moth), 855 nucleotides. RefSeq lists it as uncharacterized. The transcript is spliced from 2 exons. NCBI's taxonomy places the organism in Eukaryota, Metazoa, Arthropoda, Insecta, Lepidoptera, Tortricidae. The record is from RefSeq and is a predicted model, not a curated record.